This 310-nucleotide unclassified non-coding RNA is filed under the name plant metagenome. RNAcentral's name for it is "partial contains 5.8S ribosomal RNA, internal transcribed spacer 2, and large subunit ribosomal RNA". The stretch from base 1 to 105 matches the Rfam family "5.8S ribosomal RNA", at positions 50 to 154 of the family's 154-position model. The record is from RNAcentral.
GAAAUGCGAUAAGUAGUGUGAAUUGCAGAAUUCAGUGAAUCAUCGAAUCUUUGAACGCACAUUGCGCCCCUUGGUAUUCCAUGGGGCAUGCCUGUUCGAGCGUCAUUUGUACCCUCAAGAUCUGCUUGGUGUUGGGUGUUUGUCCCCGUCUCCGCGCGUGGACUCGCCCCAAAGUGAUUGGCAGCCGGCGUACUGGUCCCGGAGCGCAGCACAUGUCGCACAAACGAGUGCCUUGGUACGGCGGCGUCCAUAAGCCCCUCUCUCACGCUCUUGACCUCGGAUCAGGUAGGGAUACCCGCUGAACUUAAGC